GCGGCUUCUGCCAAGGCCGGCGCGCCUGCGCGCUCCUGCGUGUGCCUUUGGAGCUCGUACAGGCGGCUUCCCCGGCUCUCCGGUGGUGGGAGGACAGGGUUCUGCGGUGCCCUUUGUCGACCCCGCUGUGCAGGGCAGGGAAGGUCAGGAUCGCGAAGAGCCAAGUUCGAGCUCCGAUAACUCUCCGUGCCCUUAGAGGGUGGGGCGGGGAGGCGUGACUGCCCUUGAUGAUGGUGAGGGGAGAGAGGGAGCGCUGCACCUCUGGGGAAAACAAGUCAGCUCUGUCGUGGAGCUAGUGCACGCGUUCAGAGCGCCUUUUGCAAUUAUUCUGCCUCCAAACUGCCUGGAAUCCAGCCCGUCCUUCCUAUCGCACUGCUACAGCCCUAGACUACCUUUUGUCCCACCCUGUGCAAGUGUCUCUUCCCUGGGCUUGCCUCGCCUAUUCUCAGUGCUGCGGACCUGAUGAAUUACUGUCCGUUCUCUGCUGAGAAGCCCAGACAGCAUCUCGUCUUUGAGAUUCCACUUCCUUCACAUGGAGUCGUGUCCCCCGCCCCCCCCACCCCAAAGCCGCCUGGGUUCCAGUUAGCCUUGCCGAAGACUUGCUCUGCUUGGCAUGCCCUUCCUCUCAAUGUUUUAUCUUCUAUGAAGCUUCACCCUCAAACCCUCACAUAGAUCCUCAACGUUCCUAAGCUAACCACCUCCAAGUUUAAAAGUCAUUGGUUAUGCUCCUAAUGUUGGUCUGUGGUUCUGAAAAUGAAGACAGGAGACUUGCUGACGACGUAUUGGCAGCCUCUGGUGCUCCUAGCCAAGAAAAGGUGGGGGUGGAGGGUAGAGAGGGAAAGGAAUUAUGGGAAAAAUAAUUAGCAGCUGAAAGCAGCUAUUACAUAAUCUUGGCUGCUUAUUAAUUUAGAAGAAGGAAUGGCUUAUUAAAUUCUAAUAGCAGCACAACUGCAAACAACCUAGCAAUUAACAAUGCAGGGCCCAUUAUUUUGUUAAUAUGUUCCUUUUUUUUGGCAAGUGUAUAAGAACAGAAUUUAUAGAAGCAGAUGGUCUUUUUCAGUAGAUUAUAGAUGGCUUUUCC
This 1081-nucleotide long non-coding RNA is filed under the name Ailuropoda melanoleuca (giant panda). RNAcentral's name for it is "lncRNA (ENSAMEG00000024965.1)". Lineage: Eukaryota; Metazoa; Chordata; Mammalia; Carnivora; Ursidae. The record is from RNAcentral.